GUUGCGGUAGUUUAAACAGAACACAGGUUUGAAGCACCUGGGGUAAAAUUUUAAUUUUCUGUAACA
This 66-nucleotide transfer RNA is filed under the name Loripes lacteus. Its description in RNAcentral is "tRNA-Phe". The record is from RNAcentral. Lineage: Eukaryota; Metazoa; Mollusca; Bivalvia; Lucinida; Lucinidae.